RNAcentral lists this transfer RNA (75 nucleotides) under Bacteroidota bacterium. Its description in RNAcentral is "tRNA-Val". It matches the Rfam family "tRNA". Rfam says of the family: Transfer RNA (tRNA) molecules are approximately 80 nucleotides in length. The record is from RNAcentral. RNAcentral also lists the same sequence under 1 other name. Lineage: Bacteria; Pseudomonadati; Bacteroidota.
GGGGACAUAGCUCAGUUGGUUCAGAGCAUCUGCCUUACAAGCAGAGGGUCACAGGUUCGAAUCCUGUUGUCCCCA